Molecule: unclassified non-coding RNA, 329 nt
Filed under: soil metagenome
Description: partial contains 5.8S ribosomal RNA, internal transcribed spacer 2, and large subunit ribosomal RNA
Rfam family: 5.8S ribosomal RNA (bases 1-120)
Source: RNAcentral
GAUGAAGAACGCAGCGAAAUGCGAUAAGUAAUGUGAAUUGCAGAAUUCAGUGAAUCAUCGAAUCUUUGAACGCACAUUGCGCCCCCUGGUAUUCCGGGGGGCAUGCCUGUCCGAGCGUCAUUACAACCCUCAAGCUCAGCUUGGUGUUGGGCCCCGCCGCCCCGGCGGGCCCUAAAGUCAGUGGCGGUGCCGUCCGGCUCCGAGCGUAGUAAUUCUUCUCGCUCUGGAGGUCCGGUCUUGUGCUCGCCAGCAACCCCCAAUUUUUUUCAGGUUGACCUCGGAUCAGGUAGGGAUACCCGCUGAACUUAAGCAUAUCAAUAAGCGGAGGA